This 504-nucleotide ribosomal RNA is filed under the name uncultured bacterium. Its description in RNAcentral is "bacterial SSU rRNA". It matches the Rfam family "Bacterial small subunit ribosomal RNA", at positions 29 to 523 of the family's 1533-position model. The record is from RNAcentral.
AGUGAACGCUGGCGGCAGGCCUAAUACAUGCAAGUCGAACGGCAGCACAGCAGAGCUUGCUCUGUGGGUGGCGAGUGGCGGACGGGUGAGGAAUACAUGGGAAUCUGCCCAGUCGUGGGGAUAACGUAGGGAAACUUACGCUAAUACCGCAUGCGCCCUUCGGGGGAAAGCCGGGGACCUUCGGGCCUGGCGCGAUUGGAUGAGCCCAUGUCGGAUUAGCUAGUUGGCGGGGUAAUGGCCCACCAAGGCGACGAUCCGUAGCUGGUCUGAGAGGAUGAUCAGCCACACUGGAACUGAGACACGGUCCAGACUCCUACGGGAGGCAGCAGUAGGGAAUAUUGGACAAUGGGCGCAAGCCUGAUCCAGCCAUGCCGCGUGAGUGAAGAAGGCCCUCGGGUUGUAAAGCUCUUUGUCCAGAAGAAAAGCGACCGGGUUAAUACCCUAGGUGUCCUGACGGUACCGGAAGAAUAAGCACCGGCUAACUCGUGCCAGCAGCCGCGGUAA